AUUGAACGCUGGCGGCAUGCUUUACACAUGCAAGUCGAACGGUAACAGGCCGCAAGGUGCUGACGAGUGGCGAACGGGUGCGUAAUGCAUCGGAACGUGCCCAGUCGUGGGGGAUAACUACUCGAAAGAGUAGCUAAUACCGCAUACGAUCUAUGGAUGAAAGCGGGGGACCGUAAGGCCUCGCGCGAUUGGAGCGGCCGAUGUCAGAUUAGGUAGUUGGUGGGGUAAAGGCUCACCAAGCCAACGAUCUGUAGCUGGUCUGAGAGGACGACCAGCCACACUGGGACUGAGACACGGCCCAGACGCCUACGGGAGGCAGCAGUGGGGAAUUUUGGACAAUGGGCGCAAGCCUGAUCCAGCAAUGCCGCGUGCAGGAAGAAGGCCUUCGGGUUGUAAACUGCUUUUGUACGGAACGAAACGGCUCUGGUUAAUACCCGGGGCUAAUGACGGUACCGUAAGAAUAAGCACCGGCUAACUACGUG
Molecule: ribosomal RNA, 482 nt
Filed under: uncultured bacterium
Lineage: Bacteria
Description: partial 16S ribosomal RNA
Rfam family: Bacterial small subunit ribosomal RNA
Source: RNAcentral